RNAcentral lists this ribosomal RNA (457 nucleotides) under uncultured bacterium. Its description in RNAcentral is "partial 16S ribosomal RNA". It matches the Rfam family "Bacterial small subunit ribosomal RNA", at positions 338 to 795 of the family's 1533-position model. The record is from RNAcentral.
CCUACGGGGUGCUGCAGUGGGGAAUAUUGCACAAUGGGGGAAACCCUGAUGCAGCGACGCCGCGUGAGUGAAGAAGUAUUUCGGUAUGUAAAGCUCUAUCAGCAGGGAAGAAAUACUGACCUUACGGUCAGCAGACGGUACCUGACUAAGAAGCCCCGGCUAACUACGUGCCAGCAGCCGCGGUAAUACGGAGGAUGCGAGCGUUAUCCGGAGUUAUUGGGUUUAAAGGGUGCGCAGGCGGAAGAUCAAGUCAGCGGUAAAAUUGAGUGGCUCAACCUCAUCGAGCCGUUGAAACUGGUUUUCUUGAGUGAGCGAGAGGUAUGCGGAAUGCGUGGUGUAGCGGUGAAAUGCAUAGAUAUCACGCAGAACUCAGAUUGCGAAGGCAGCAUACCGGCGCUCAACUGACGCUCAUGCACGAAAGUGUGGGUAUCGAACAGGAUUAGAUACCCGAGUAGUC